This 253-nucleotide ribosomal RNA is filed under the name uncultured bacterium. RNAcentral describes it as "partial 16S ribosomal RNA". It matches the Rfam family "Bacterial small subunit ribosomal RNA", at positions 524 to 776 of the family's 1533-position model. The record is from RNAcentral.
UACGAAGGGGGCUAGCGUUGCUCGGAAUUACUGGGCGUAAAGGGUGUGUAGGCGGACUUUUAAGUCAGCGGUGAAAUCUCCGGGCUCAACCCGGAAACUGCCAUUGAUACUAUUAGUCUUGAAUAUUGUUGAGGUAGGCGGAACGGGUCAUGUAGCGGUGAAAUGCAUAGAUAUGACCCGGAACACCGAUUGCGAAGGCAGCCUACUAAGCAAUUAUUGACGCUGAGGCACGAAAGCGUGGGGAUCAAACAGG